Molecule: long non-coding RNA, 900 nt
Organism: Oncorhynchus keta (chum salmon)
Lineage: Eukaryota; Metazoa; Chordata; Actinopteri; Salmoniformes; Salmonidae
Exons: 3
Source: RefSeq, a predicted model, not a curated record
AAGUCUUUGCAUCUCACUCAUCUCAAUAUCUGCGGUGCUGCUUGUGGCAACGUCAUUUCACUGAGUCUACUUUUUUAAAGUAGGGAUAUUAGGUAUUGAGUAGUCGCUGGUGGAUGCUGGGCCCUAAAGUCUCAUUAGCUCCCUCUUGUGGGUUGAAAAUGCGUGAAUGACAUUGCUCAUCUACCCUUUUAUAAUGGCAUUCCUCAUCUAGGGUCACGGUUACAACUUGAGACUGAAAAUAAUAAAAGAAUGGUAUGUGGUUGGAGUGUCUAACCCCGCCCCUGUCUGUCUCCUCCAAUAGAAUGCAGCGGUGGUGGUGGUGGAGGCUACAGCAGAAGCAGACCAAGCAGUUAUCUUGGAGAAUGGACAGGAAGAAGUAGAGGCUGAAUCCGUUUUAGGAACAGUUGAGGCAGCACUAUUGGAACGAGCUGAGAUCCUCACCAAUGGGAGAGGAGAGGGGGAGGGGCAAGCUGCUACCCACAAUGCAUCAGAGGAGGGCGGACUGCACAACGGCACCAACGGUCCAGUGACGGUCGUCCCUGAAGAUGGUGCCAUUACCAUGACGUUCCUGGGGUUCACGGAGACGGAGCCAGGCGAGGCUCCGGUAAUCGAAGAAGGCGGACUGAUCAUGAUGCGAGCGGAGCGAGUGAUUAUCAAUGACGAGGGAGACGAGCUGGCAAAUGAUCUUUCCUCUACGGGUCAGGAACAGGAAGUUGACUCGGCUGCGUCCAAUCAGAGGUCAGAAUCUCCUGAGGAAGGAGGAAUUGAGGAGGCGAAACCAGAGACAACUCCUGAAGAGUCCUCAGAAGUAGCAAAAGAGACUGAGACAGAGGCAGACACAGUAACUAGAGAUUUAGGAGAAGGACAGAUGGACCCCGUAACUAGAGAUUUAGGAGAAGG